This 429-nucleotide ribosomal RNA is filed under the name bacterium. Its description in RNAcentral is "partial 16S ribosomal RNA". It matches the Rfam family "Bacterial small subunit ribosomal RNA", at positions 355 to 776 of the family's 1533-position model. The record is from RNAcentral.
UAGGGAAUCUUCCACAAUGGACGCAAGUCUGAUGGAGCAACGCCGCGUGAGUGAAGAAGGUUUUCGGAUCGUAAAGCUCUGUUGUUGGUGAAGAAGGAUAGAGGUAGUAACUGGCCUUUAUUUGACGGUAAUCAACCAGAAAGUCACGGCUAACUACGUGCCAGCAGCCGCGGUAAUACGUAGGUGGCAAGCGUUGUCCGGAUUUAUUGGGCGUAAAGCGAGCGCAGGCGGAAGAAUAAGUCUGAUGUGAAAGCCCUCGGCUUAACCGAGGAACUGCAUCGUAAACUGUUUUUCUUGAGUGCAGAAGAGGAGAGUGGAAUUCCAUGUGUAGCGGUGGAUUGCGUAGAUAUAUGGAAGAACACCAGUGGCGAAGGCGACUCUCUGGUCUGCAACUGACGCUGAGGCUCGAAAGCAUGGGUAGCGAACAGG